Lotus japonicus is the source of this 100-nucleotide small nucleolar RNA. The record is from RefSeq and is a predicted model, not a curated record. Lineage: Eukaryota; Viridiplantae; Streptophyta; Magnoliopsida; Fabales; Fabaceae.
UUUUGUGUUGAUGAUGAUAAAUGUGAUCCCAGCUCAUUAUGAGACCUUCGCGAUUGCUAAGUCAAGGACUAGUGUUUUUCCACAUUUGUCUGAGCCAACC